RNAcentral lists this unclassified non-coding RNA (1242 nucleotides) under Hevea brasiliensis (rubber tree). The record is from RNAcentral. Lineage: Eukaryota; Viridiplantae; Streptophyta; Magnoliopsida; Malpighiales; Euphorbiaceae.
GUUUAUUUUCACAAUACUUCAAGGCCUAAGGAAACAUUUUUAAUGAAUUGCUUAACAAAUGAGUAUUAAUAUAACAUCCCAUAUAUGAUAUACUACUAAUUUGUGUAUGAGUAUGCUAACUGAUGGGCAAACUGAGUGAAUCAAUUCAGAAGAUAUAAAUUUUUCCUCAAGUGCAAAUAACCUCUAUCCCUUUUGAGAUUCAAACAAUAAAAAUUGUGCAAAAUAAAACAAAAACGGAAUAAACUAUAAAAAUCACACAUGAAACGAAAUUUCCCAUGAUUAGUUUAGCCAUACUUUUAAAUAUAUCAAAGUCUGCUGUUUCAUUAAUCUUUUCCUGAAAUACACAUCUUGCCAAGAUAUAUAUAUACAUUUCAAGGCAGUGACUCCUCUUGGCUAUCCUCAUCGUAUAACUCUUGGUUCUCAAACUCCAUAGAGUUGAACUCAUUUUGGUUCUCAGAAUUUCCAUAAUAACCUUGAUUUUGAGUACUUACCUUCCUUGGCGCAUACAUAUUAGCAGGAUAAUAAGAAUUAUCAUUCUUCACAUUAUAAUAGUACUUGCCACCUUCCAUAAAUCUUGUAUCGCUCAUUCCUUGUCGCUGAUCAGUCAAGUAGCCAUUGUUAACGUUGUAGUUGCUGGUGUAGCUAUUCCUGUUGUUCUGAUUAUAUCCUUUCUCAUAGCUACCGCUAGCAAGCUCAUAUCCAUUGUUAUUGUACCUUCCAGUGUAGCCAUUGUAAUUGUUUUGAUUUCCUGUCUCAUGGCUUUCGCUAGCAAGCUUGUAGCCAUUAUUGUAGUUGUAAUUUCCAUUGUUGUUGUUGAAGUUGCUAGUUUGAAUUGCGUUCUCAUACGUUUCGCCAUCAAAUUCUUCAUUCAAGAGCUCAUUUUCGGUUGUAGUCUCCUUUGUUGGAGGAAAAAGGCCAGAACCAUGACCAUAGAGGCCAUGAUCACCAAUUUCACUCAGAGUGUAGAUUGCUUCUGGUGCUGGUGCUGGUGCUGUUGUUGGUGUUUGGGCUAAUGCUACAGCUGGGGUUGGCGCAGGUGCUUCAAUGGGAGAAAGAUUACUCUCUUUAGCAUUGUUUGUGAUGCUAUAAUGGGUAAACUUACUAAAGAACUUGCUCUCUCUAGCAUGGAUUAGACUAGAGGAGAAGAGAACUAGAAGGAAGUAGAAAAACAAAUGUUUACCAAAAGAAGCCAUAGAUUGGGGAUGAGAAUUGAGAAAUGAAAUAAAAAUUUUUGCUGAGAAU